Long non-coding RNA from Ictalurus punctatus (channel catfish), 519 nucleotides. NCBI's taxonomy places the organism in Eukaryota, Metazoa, Chordata, Actinopteri, Siluriformes, Ictaluridae. The record is from Ensembl.
CCGCCUCGAAGUUCAGACGCUGCUGGUUCCAAAAAUGAGUUCGGCUCCGUACUCACACGGAGAUAAAAGACAGGCUGAUAAAAGGAGAGAGUUCCGGAAGCGUGACUGGUCCAUCGAGCAACCUCCUCUCUUGCCAGAGGAAGACUCUCAUCCUCAAUCAUCAGGACCCGACGGCGUACAUGAAGGGCAACGUGUCAAGAGCGAGACCGGUUCCAUUCCAAAAUGACGACAAGGAGGACAAAGCUGGGAUAAUGCAUGUGUGAUCUGCUGAAAAGAUGACGAACUGUUCGUCCUUAUUCCAGCAACAGAGCAUAUAAACACAGACCUACACCCAAUUUAACUGCAUUAAUUCCAAGUGAUUGUAAUUCUAUAAUCGUCCACUAGAGGCCACUAGACAGAUAGCGAAAACUGACUUGGGGGGGACAUUUCAUAUGAAAAAAGAAGAGAGACAGAAAGAUGGAAACAGAUGCGGUCAUUAUGAUGGCGGUGUGUAUUCACCACAGCACAACAAUGGCAGAG